GCCACAGCUUCAACCCUCCACAAGCUCAAUGAUCUUUAUCGAUAUCCUCCUCUUAGUGCUUGACGGCUCAAACAUGGGCUAACGCACAUGUGGAGGAGGUCGUGUAGAGGUUUUGGAGCCAGCGACUUCAGAACUUUUGAGAUGCUAUCCACGAUACGGUCGUUGAGAUUCUUCAAGAUCUGUAUCUACGUGAUUAGCUCAGCUCGUUGUCAUAGCCAUCAUAGU
This 225-nucleotide long non-coding RNA is filed under the name Elaeis guineensis (African oil palm). RNAcentral describes it as "long non-coding RNA (EGUI_LNC040993)". Lineage: Eukaryota; Viridiplantae; Streptophyta; Magnoliopsida; Arecales; Arecaceae. The record is from RNAcentral.